AGCGGCAUGGUGUAUGGUUGCACGCGGGGUCUUACUGAGUCGUGGAUAAGGGCCUUAUUAAGGCUAUAACCCCCGAGGUCCUUGUUCGAUUCAAGGUGCCGCUC
Mycena filopes is the source of this 104-nucleotide non-coding RNA. NCBI's taxonomy places the organism in Eukaryota, Fungi, Basidiomycota, Agaricomycetes, Agaricales, Mycenaceae. The record is from the annotation of a GenBank genome assembly.